Molecule: transfer RNA, 94 nt
Filed under: Achromobacter sp. 2789STDY5608628
Lineage: Bacteria; Pseudomonadati; Pseudomonadota; Betaproteobacteria; Burkholderiales; Alcaligenaceae
Also listed under: 1 other name
Description: tRNA-Arg(acg)
Source: RNAcentral
GGUUGCCUGGCGUACUUCGGUGACGCCUUCUCCUUCACGGCAGAAGACGGCCGGUACCCUGAUUGGCGCCGCGUUCUGCCGCGCGAAGCCACUA